GGGAAAAUCUAUAUAUUAUUUACAAGCUUUGGGGCAUGCAUUUGCCCAAGGAAGAAAUGCAAGCAAAGCCCUCCUAAAAACAACUUUGGCCUCUUUUCUCCUCCCCUUUCCCACCUCUUUUAUUUCUCCCUCUUUCAAACUCUAAAAGUAGCCAGAAAAGGCUUUUUAAAACUUCCCUCCCUCUCCCAAAAAAACCCACCCCAUUUUUGUUUCCUUAGGAAUAAAAAGAAAUACACACCUUCUGUUGCUCUCCUUUCCCUCCCUUUUGACUCAAACGUUCUUGCAAUAAUAGUAAUAAUGAUAAUAAAUCCUGCAAAUUUGCAAGAGUCUCUUUUUCUUCCCCUUCCAACCAUGCAAUAUUUUUCUUCUUCCUGGCUUGCAAGAGGUUCUGUCACUCACUCUUCUUUCACUUUUAAAAACAUUCCCUCCUUGUCCCUCUCUCUCUUAAAAAAUAAGAUAACUCCAGCCUGGGAGGAGAAGUGGAGAAGGGAGAGAAUGUUUUUAAAGUGAGCAUAGUGCCAAAUUCAAGCCACAGAAUUCUUAUUAACACAUAACAUUUUCAUACUUUUCAUAUAUUCACAUGUACCUUAGUGAAACAGAAAACAUGUCUCAAGAUAAUAAGAUAGCUAUAAUAACUACCCUCAAAAGACAUCAAUAUUAAAACAUACAUAUCAUAUCUAUAUUGUACCUUUAUCAUAAGGUAAAGGUAAAGGUUUUCCCCUGACAUUAAAUCUAGUUGUGUCUGAUGCUGGGGGUUGGUGCUCAUCUCCAUUUCUAAGCCGAAGAGCCGUUCAAGGUCAUGUGGCUGGCAUGACUGCAUGAAACGCAGAAAUUAUUAGACAAAAAUUAUGAGGGGAAAACGUGUUGGUUUCUCUUCAUAUGGAUUUUCUUUCUUCUUGGUCUCCCCUCUGUCAAACCAAACAAUUUGCCUGAAUUCAACAAUUAUAGUCACAGUUUUUCUACAGACAUAUGUAUUUUGCAUACACAAGUGGGGAUGAAAAUCAAGUCAUUGGGCCACAUACCCUAACUGGCCUUUGUACAUUCAGUAUACUGUGAAAACAGAGCCUGAUCGUAUGUACAUAACCUUGAGUAUAUCCACAUUGCACAAUUAUAGCAGUUUGAUGCUCUCUGAUGAAAUCCUGAAGUUUUCAUAAGAUAUUUCAAAUUUUCCUUUUCGUUUCUGGACUUGUUCUGAUUCCAUUUGUUUAGACUGGCUCCACAUGUAGGA
This 1228-nucleotide long non-coding RNA is filed under the name Anolis carolinensis (green anole). Its description in RNAcentral is "lncRNA (ENSACAG00000043913.1)". Lineage: Eukaryota; Metazoa; Chordata; Lepidosauria; Squamata; Anolidae. The record is from RNAcentral.